GAAAACAAGGAACCAACUAAGCCCAGAAGGGUAGAAAGUGAAUACGUUAAAUCACAAAUCCAUGUUCACAUAAUAUAAUGGUUUGAAUCAACUUGACUCGUUAAAUCAGACUCAUUUGGAAAAAGAAAAAGGAAGCAACAUAUAUAUUUUAUAGACAUAUACAGGAUUUCCACCCAAUUGUGAUUUUUUAAUCACUCUGAUUUUAUGCAUUUGGCACCACAAAACUAAUAUCUGGC
RNAcentral lists this unclassified non-coding RNA (236 nucleotides) under Hevea brasiliensis (rubber tree). Lineage: Eukaryota; Viridiplantae; Streptophyta; Magnoliopsida; Malpighiales; Euphorbiaceae. The record is from RNAcentral.